UAACUUAAGCAACGCAAACCCUACCUGCUUUCGCGUCUCUGCAACUCCGUGGUUGCGCCAGAAUGAAUAAGUAUCUUCAAAAAU
This 84-nucleotide small RNA is filed under the name uncultured Kurthia sp. RNAcentral's name for it is "BsrC". It matches the Rfam family "BsrC". Rfam says of the family: The 301 nucleotide sequence from Kouji Nakamura has been trimmed to a highly conserved ~85 nucleotide long core to form this family. Lineage: Bacteria; Bacillati; Bacillota; Bacilli; Caryophanales; Caryophanaceae. The record is from RNAcentral.